This 127-nucleotide small RNA is filed under the name Marmota monax (woodchuck). Lineage: Eukaryota; Metazoa; Chordata; Mammalia; Rodentia; Sciuridae. The record is from RNAcentral.
ACCUGGUGUGGUGGCGCACACCUGUAAUCCCAGCAGCUCAGGAGGCCGAGGCAGGAGAAUCACAAGUUCGAGGCCAGCCUCAGCAAUUUAGGGAGGACUUAAGCAACUUAGCGAGACCCUGCGUCUA